GUGUCAGCAGCCGCGGUAAUACGUAGGUGGCAAGCGUUAUCCGGAAUUAUUGGGCGUAAAGCGCGCGUAGGCGGUUUUUUAAGUCUGAUGUGAAAGCCCACGGCUCAACCGUGGAGGGUCAUUGGAAACUGGAAAACUUGAGUGCAGAAGAGGAAAGUGGAAUUCCAUGUGUAGCGGUGAAAUGCGCAGAGAUAUGGAGGAACACCGGUGGUGAAAGCGGCUCUCUGGUCUGUAACUGACGCUGAGGCUCGAAAGCGUGGGGAGCGAACAGGAUUAGAAACCCUCGUAGUCC
Molecule: ribosomal RNA, 292 nt
Filed under: uncultured Staphylococcus sp.
Lineage: Bacteria; Bacillati; Bacillota; Bacilli; Caryophanales; Staphylococcaceae
Description: partial 16S ribosomal RNA
Rfam family: Bacterial small subunit ribosomal RNA
Source: RNAcentral